This 1668-nucleotide ribosomal RNA is filed under the name Triticum aestivum (bread wheat). Its description in RNAcentral is "partial small subunit ribosomal RNA". Lineage: Eukaryota; Viridiplantae; Streptophyta; Magnoliopsida; Poales; Poaceae. The record is from RNAcentral.
AUGGCGGCCGGCGACACGGGCGCGCCCGCGGCGGGCGGAGCGGGGCAGGAAGACUCGCCCGAGCCGCCGCGGGGCGAGCGAACCACCCCCGAUCACCACGCUCCGGCGUCGCCGGGCGCUUCCGAAGAGGAAGAGGGCGCCAGCGGAGCAGUCGAGGCGGGGCAGGACGACGCGCCCGAGCUGGAGGACGAGCAGGGGGAGGGCGGCGACGCCACGGAGGACGACGUGGAUGAGGAGGAGGAGGAGGAGGAGGAAUGGGACGGGGAGGAGGAGGAGGGAGACGACGAGGAGGAGGACGCCCCGACGCACCUGCCGUUCGCGCCCGCGGAGGAAGAGUCACUUGAUGACACAAACGCAACUACAGUUGAUCCAAGCUAUACUAUCUCUCUUAUAAGGCAACUAAUACCUAAGGGAUCCAGUGUGGAGAAAGAGUUCAGGGAUUCAACGCAACCGGAUAACACGGAUCCUUCUGAGAAAAGUGACAAGCAGGGUCUUCCAGAAGAAAGAAGUGUCAGUCCUAAGGAUCAGUUGGAAGAGUGUGGUUGUAUUCUGUGGGAUCUUGCGGCUAGUACACCUCAAGCAGAACUUAUGAUUAAUAAUCUUGUGAUUGAAGUGCUUUUGGAAAACCUUCAUACGGCAAAUUCUUCUAGGGUGAAGGAAAUUUGUCUUGGAAUCAUGGGAAACUUAGUCUGUCAUGAAUCUCUAGUUGCUGCAAUCUCUUUGAAAAAAGGUUUAAUUGCAACUGUUGUGGAGCAAUUGUUUAUAGAUGAUGUCCAAUGCCUUUCUGAAACAUUCAGGUUGUUGGCUGCCAUUCUUCGGUCCAGUGCAUUUGUUUCUUGGGCUCAAGCUCUUUUACCUGAUGAGGUUCUUUCACGUAUUCUAUGGAUAGUUGGGAAGACAGAUAAUUCUACAUUACUUGAAAAGAUCAUUGACUUCCUAUCAACUGUCAUUGAUAAUCGAGAUGUGAUUGCUAUGCUUAUCCAGCCCUUGCUUAAACUGGGUCUAGUUAACCGUGUUAUUGGGUUACUAACAACUGAGCUUGAAAGAUCAGCGGAUGAGAAGCUAGACAGAUCGGAUUCUCUUGAAUUGAUCCUUCACUUCAUGGAAGAAUUAUCAGCCAUACACUGUGUUUCAAAGGCAAUGACAUCGAAUGACUGGCUGAUUAAAGUGUUAGUUAACAUGAUCAAAUCGCCUGAUAAAGUUGAGGUUGCAAGCUAUUGUGCUUCGGUGGUGAUCGUAAUAUCAAAUAUUUUGACAGAUGGAAAGCAUUUGGUGCCUAAGAUAUCCCGUGAUUUAGCGUUCCUGGAAGGCCUACUUGAAGUUCUUCCAGAGGUCCCUGAUGAUGACCAAGCUCGAUAUGCACUUUGGAGUAUCUUAGCACGUAUUCUGGCACAAGUGCAAGGAACUGAGUUAAACUCCUCGUCCCUCGACCAGUUUGCGUCUCUGUUCUCAGGCAAGUUCGGCCUCAUCAAAGAUGACCUCGAGAGUCAGGUGGUUGAUGAAGAGAAGUUAACACCUGAGGAUGCUCUCCUGAAGGGAUGGACAUCGAGAUGUCUCGUGGCAAUCUCCUUCUUCAUGGAGAGAUGGAUCGAGGAGAAGUCCUCGACUGGAGACUCCAUCGACAAUGCUCGGGAGGUGCUGAGCUACUGCCAGAAGGCGCUCAGCUAA